RNAcentral lists this microRNA precursor (201 nucleotides) under Solanum lycopersicum (tomato). RNAcentral's name for it is "mir-166 microRNA precursor family". It matches the Rfam family "mir-166 microRNA precursor family". Rfam says of the family: This family represents the plant microRNA (miRNA) precursor mir-166. Lineage: Eukaryota; Viridiplantae; Streptophyta; Magnoliopsida; Solanales; Solanaceae. The record is from Rfam by way of RNAcentral.
GUUGGGGAGAAUGUUGUCUGGUUCGAAAUCUUUCUAUAGAAAAAUCAGUGGUGGAUUCAGUUAUGAGUUUCAAGAUCGUUAAAUCUUAUAUAUGUACAAAAAUAAGUACAAUAUAUAUUUUUAGACCCUAAAAUGUCGAAUAUAUAUUCUGAAUUCGUCAAUUUAUUGAGUGAUUUCGGACCAGGCUUCAUUCCCCUCAAC